AUGAACGCUGGCGGCGUGCUUAACACAUGCAAGUCGAACGAGAAAUGUAGACGGAAACCUUCGGGCGGAAGCCUUCAUUUCGAGUGGCGGACGGGUGAGUAACGCGUGGGUAACCUGCCUCAUACAGGGGGAUAACAGUUGGAAACGACUGUUAAUACCGCAUAAGACCACAGCAUCGCAUGAUGCGGGGGUAAAAACUCCGGUGGUAUGAGAUGGACCCGCGUUCGAUUAGCCAGUUGGCGGGGUAACGGCCCACCAAAGCGACGAUCGAUAGCCGAUCUGAGAGGAUGACCGGCCACAUUGGGACUGAGACACGGCCCAAACUCCUACGGGAGGCAGCAGUGGGGAAUAUUGCACAAUGGGGGAAACCCUGAUGCAGCGACGCCGCGUGAGUGAAGAAGUACUUCGGUAUGUAAAGCUCUAUCAGCAGGGAAGAAAAUGACGGUACCUGAGUAAGAAGCCCCGGCUAACUACGUG
Molecule: ribosomal RNA, 477 nt
Filed under: uncultured bacterium
Lineage: Bacteria
Description: partial 16S ribosomal RNA
Rfam family: Bacterial small subunit ribosomal RNA
Source: RNAcentral